ACCCCCACGGUUACGGAGUAGGGUUUAAUACUCCUACUUCCACAUAAACUCUUCCCUUUCGCAGGAGCCAAAACAGCUCUGCUUUACUUUUUUCAACACCCAUUUCAAUAAAAUCCCGAAUUUCCCAUUACUUUAUACCCUUUUUUUUCUGGGUUUCAAAGAAGGAUCGAGUUUCACCCGGCCAGAAAAGUCUUUAAUGGGCUUAGUAAUAGUGGCGAAAAUGGGGAUUUUAACUUGGAGACGCUGAAUCCAAGUGGGUCGGAGCAAAAGAUGAGUUUUAGGAUGACUUUUCGGAAAAUUGGUGCUGGUCUUGAAAAUCUUGGUAAUACUUGUUUUCUCAAUUCAAUGUUGCAGUAUCUGACAUAGACGGUGCGUUUUUGCGGCAUACUUGCAGAGUGGCAAGCAUCAAAAUUCUUGGGAGUGGCUUUCUCUUCUGCUCAGUUCUUUCCUGCUUUUUACUUCCAUGAACACAGUAAAAACUAUAUAGGCAUGCAUAUUUCUACAUCAAUUCUGUUUCUAGGCCCAAAAAGAAGAUAACGGAAGACAGCCUGAGGGAGAUUGCAGCUGAAGAAAAUAAGGGCAGAGAGCUUGAGGGCAGUUUGGGAAACUCAUGCUAGUCAUUCAGAGUUGUAUGAGGCAGUAAAAUAAUGCUACAAGGGAAUCAUUCAGGUUCCUAUGAAGGAGAUUUUGGUACACUCUUUAUGGUGUUCUGGUUCAUCAUGGUUGGAGAACACAUUCUGGACACCAUUACUGCUUUGUUCGAACAUCAAGUGCCUUGUGGCACUCCCUUGAUGAUAAUCAAGUAUGGAAAUUUCCUUAUUCCAUUUCUCUUCUAGGAAUGCUUGUGGGGUUGGUUGGAUAUAUUUUUAUAUCUUGAAUAAUAAUGCCAUAAGAACUUGAAAUCUAAAAUUUGCUAUUCUUGAA
Long non-coding RNA from Mangifera indica (mango), 924 nucleotides. RefSeq lists it as uncharacterized. The transcript is spliced from 4 exons. NCBI's taxonomy places the organism in Eukaryota, Viridiplantae, Streptophyta, Magnoliopsida, Sapindales, Anacardiaceae. The record is from RefSeq and is a predicted model, not a curated record.